This is a long non-coding RNA of Populus nigra (black poplar), 3172 nucleotides long. RefSeq lists it as uncharacterized. The transcript has 5 exons. The record is from RefSeq and is a predicted model, not a curated record. NCBI's taxonomy places the organism in Eukaryota, Viridiplantae, Streptophyta, Magnoliopsida, Malpighiales, Salicaceae.
UUGGCGGUAAAAGGAUCUGAUCAUCUGCAUGGGAGGAGUUGAUUCCGGGAUCGAGUUAAAAUGUUGCUUCAAGUUGUAGUUUGAGCCCCCCACACGCACAGAAGUACCCCUUAGUGAUUUGGUAGUUCUUGGUUGGUGGGGCUUGUUUUCAAAUUACAGAAUCGAACGACUCCCCUUACAGUAUUGCAGAGCGCUUUGCCUUUCUAGUCUGCACAAAGUGGUAUAAUCCAGUAAUUCAUAAGCAUUCUUGAUUUCUUUUAAUGGAGGACCAAGUUCAUCAUGAAGAUGAGCAUCGGAUCAGUGGAAUAUGCAACCCUUAGGACAUCGGUGGACACUUAUGAAAGCUCCUGUUAUUGGUUUCCAGAUCUUGCUUUUCAUGCGCCUGGAGGUAUCAUAGGGAACAUCACCUGGUGCUGAACAUUUUCCAUGUCUGAUCCUUUGCUCCACCUUUUUUGAUUCAAGGAGCUGGGGUUUUGCUGUAUAUAGAUUGGUGGAGAAAAUUGUUUUCUUGCUAAACAAUGGAGCUGGUUCUGGUAGAUACUUCGCCGUCACAUCAAAUGCUCAAGAUUAUUUUGGAUUUUUUCACAAUGGAUCCAGGUUACUCGGGUGGUGGUCAAUCGAUGAAGGUAGUAGGAAGGAGCGGGCUAGAAUUUAUUGUGCUGGAGGUUCAGGGUAUGUUUUCUAUGCUACAACCUAGUGUCUUUUUAUUAGAAUUUUUUACAUUCAUUGGCGCAACCAGAGAGGCAUAAUAAUUUCUCUGAAGUUUCCAAGGACAUCUAUGUCCAGUAUUGCCUGCCCUUCCUUUUACCUUAUAGGUCUUGAGAUGAAUUCAUUGAAACCCCAUUUAACAUAUUCAGAGUGGCAUCAUAAACGGGACACACUUUGUAUCACAUGAACAAAGCUGGACAUGCACACACAUAUCUCGAGAUAAUGGAAGAUAUGGUCAUGAAAUAUGCUAAAAGAAUGAGGAGAAAUUGCAUUAGCAAUUGUUUUAUGAACAGCACAAUCACGAGGAGUACAGAAGAUAUCUGUUGCAUACAUUCUCUUGUUGCUAGCUAGUUAAAUGUCAAGAACACUUGCAGUGUUUUUAACUUUUAAGGGUUUGCUAAGCUAGGCAGUUAAAUUCUAACUCCUACUCUCACGGGUCUUUUCCUCUUCCAGUCUUUCAAGGUUUCAAAAUGUGCAUUGGUAUGUCAAAGGAUAUGUUAGUCCAACCAAUCGACUUUUGGUAUCAGUGCUCUGUAUUAUGCUAUGGAAAUGAAUGCUUUCAUCUGUGGCGCAAUAGGAUUGGAAGGUCCCAUUCCAUCAUCUGGUGAUACGGGGCCAUGAUCCUGGAAUCACACCAUUACACUCGAAAAUAUUCAAAUCUUUUAAGGGUUUCUUUUUACAAAAGAUUGUUACAAUCUCUUCUUUUGUGCAUUAUUAUGCUAGAUUGCUAAAAUGCUGAUCACAUACUGAGAUAACACGCACCGCAUUUUUCAUUCAUACAGGCUAUUUAUUCAAUUAAAGGUUUUUUGUUGUCAUUUGUAGUAAAACCAUUUAAAAUCUGUAUGUGAAGACAAUUUGCUAAAAUCUGCCAACGUGUGGUUGCCGGGCUUGGUGGUGAAUAAUGUGUAUGGUGGGGGGUGGGUGGCUCUGGGAGGGUUGUCCCUUCCCAGACCCAACCACCACCACAGGUAUAGUCGUCCCACAACUACCCAAGCCCUGCAAUCAUUCUUUGUGACCAUUAUGUGAAACCUUCAAAAUUAAAUUUGCAACUGUGACUUAAAACCAUGAGUGCAUUUUCCAUGCAGGCAAGUUCUGCACUGCCCUUUGCAAAAGUUUUGAAGGCACCGCCUUCAUACUAGUUCAGAUUCAACCAGAUGUCAACUGACAUUCGGUCACAAGCACUGUUUGACCAUGGAAAAUUGGCUUGGCCAAAUGUCAGCCAUGAGCUGCCGGCGCUCAGGUCACCCCUAACUAAAUGUUGGUCACUCUUGACUGGCAUCCAUAUAAAGGCCGGUGCCGUUUCUUACUAGAGAAGCUGCCUUGCCUUGCAAUUUCUUAACAUAAUUUGUGCUUCCAGUAGAUAAUUAAUAUAGUGCAGUGUACAUACUGUGCAUACUUUAUUUGUAGGUCACAGAAGUUAUGGCAAGUUAUAUCUUUUAUAACCUUUCCUUCUAUCUUUAUUACUCGGAUACAACACUUUCCCAGCAGAAAUUGUGAAGAAGCAGCCCAAAUCUGAACUUGUUCAUGAGGUUCAAACAGUUUUGCCUGUUCAAUAAGGCCCAAGUUUAAGAUUGUUUGUAUCUAUCCACGCUCUGCUGCAACUUAAUUCUGCUCUUUCUUCAUAAAAAAUACAACUUUAACUCUUCAAUUCUUUUGUAUCAUCAUAUUCGGAGAUUACAAGCUUUACUCAUUGAGCAAACAGAAAUUACAGAAUUUAGCCAGAAGUAUAGAAGGCUUCAAUUAGUUUUUAGAACAGUCUAGUUGUCUUUUAUGCUCACACUAAUCUUUGUUGUGCCAUCCAUGCUCUCAAUGCUGUAUUUUGGCUUUCCCUGUGCUGAUUUAAUGAAUCUAUCAGGACAAAAUUCUAUGUAGAAUUUGUUUCAAAGGACAAAUUAAUGUCGUCCUGCUUCCAAGCAGGCAUCGUGCCCUUUUCAGGUAUGGGGAUCCACCUUUCUCUUACCAAUAUUUGUUGAUACUUCAAACAGUACACUUCUCUGAAUGAAAAAUAAAAAGAAAUAAGAUUAUUGAUGAGAAAGCUUUUCAUUGAGGAUGAAGCUUUGCCUUCAAAAUUGUUAUUCAUGCCAUGCACAGGUAAAAGAACUCUGAAUUGCUUGUUUAAAAAAAAAGAACGAAAGACCUGUUUAUAUGUAUUUAUUCCUUUUGUUAAUAUCUUCUUGAAUUUGUGUUCAGCACAUGCUGCCAGAAGAGUAAAAGUUCCCCAAUCUGCCUCGUCACCAAUGAGGUGCAGUUGUCUGUAUAUGACGUGUAGUUCCAAUUGUAUCCAUGACAUGUGUAUAUGUGAAGGAAAGAUUCCUUGCUGCUUGUGGUUUUAGAUGAAGCACGCACUGAGAAGCUACAAUUUUGGCGUCCUCUAUUCACAUGUAACAGUAGUUGUCUCAUUUUCCAGGAACUGUAAAUAUUCUGACAGAUUUGAUGAACUAUGAAAGUAAAUUUUUUUAGAGCC